This 2292-nucleotide small RNA is filed under the name Pongo abelii (Sumatran orangutan). RNAcentral's name for it is "retained intron". The record is from RNAcentral. Lineage: Eukaryota; Metazoa; Chordata; Mammalia; Primates; Hominidae.
UUCAACACGCUGAUGGCAGUCACAGGGGGCCUAUGUCACAGUGCCAUCUCCAGACUCAAGGACUCCCAUGCCCACCUGAGCCCUGACAGCACCAAGGCCCUCCUGGAGCUCACUGAGCUCCUUGCCUCCCACAACAACUACGCCCGCUACCGCCGCACCUGGGCUGGCUGUGCGGGCUUCCGGCUGCCUGUACUGGGCGUGCACCUCAAGGACCUGGUGUCCCUGCAUGAGGCACAGCCCGACAGGUUGCCUGACGGCCGCCUGCACCUACCCAAGCUGAACAACCUCUACCUGCGGCUGCAGGAGCUGGUGGCCCUCCAAGGGCAGCAUCCACCCUGCAGCGCCAAUGAGGACCUGCUGCACCUGCUCACGCUCUCCCUGGACCUCUUCUACACGGAAGACGAGAUCUAUGAGCUUUCUUAUGCCCGGGAGCCGCGUUGUCCCAAGAGUCUGCCACCCUCCCCCUUCAACGCACCUCUGGUGGUGGAAUGGGCCCCUGGUGUGACACCCAAGCCGGACAGGAUCACGCUGGGUCGGCAUGUGGAGCAGCUGGUGGAGGUAAGGAGGGGCCGCCGGCAGCCAGGAGGGAAGACAUCUGUAGAACCCUGAGCCUGGAGGUGGGGACUUAUAUGGCCAUGGGGAUCAUAUUUCGACAACUGGGCCUUAUCUGCUUCCCCACACUUCUCUGAAGUCUGUGUUCAAGAAUUAUGACCCUGAAGGCCGAGGAACAAUCUCUCAGGAGGACUUUGAGCGACUCUCGGGCAAUUUUCCCUUCGCCUGCCAUGGGCUUCACCCACCCCCACGCCAGGGGAGAGGCUCCUUCAGCAGAGAGGAGCUGACAGGGUACCUGCUCCGGGCCAGCGCCAUCUGCUCCAAGCUGGGCCUCGCCUUCCUGCACACCUUCCAUGAGGUCACCUUCCGAAAGCCUACCUUCUGCGACAGCUGCAGUGGCUUCCUCUGGGGUGUCACCAAGCAAGGCUACCGCUGUCGGGAGUGCGGGCUGUGUUGCCACAAACACUGCAGAGAGCAACUGAAGGUAGAAUGUAAGAAGAGGCCAGGGGCCAAGGGCGAUGCAGGACCCCCCGGAGCUCCUGUCCCAUCCACACCAGCUCCCCAUGCCAGCUGUGGCUCCGAGGAAAAUCUCUCCUACACGCUAUCCCUGGAACCUGAGACUGGGUGCCAGCUUCGCCAUGCCUGGACCCAGACUGAAUCCCCACACCCUUCCUGGGAAACAGAUACGGUCCCCUGCCCAGUGAUGGACCCACCAUCAACUGCAUCCUCGAAGCUGGAUUCCUAGACAUCUCUUGGUCUCCUCUCUUCCUCACUCCCUUCCCCCAGUCAGUCCUGAGUCCUGUCGUCAGACUCUGGCAGGGCUCCCAGAGGUAGGCCCCCAGAGGCAUCCGCCUUCCCAUCCACACUGCCUUUGGUGGUACGUCCAUCAUCUUUUUCCCUGGAAGUGACUUCCCUCUUUUGCAUCCUGGUGGAUGCUACUCCUGCUCCCUUCCCCUGCACUUAGUAUCUGUGCAGCUCUGUGUUGGAUACAUUUAGACUCAGGCCUCAUUUUACCAACUCCCUAAAUCUCCAUUUCUUUUUUUUUUUUUUUUUUUUUUUUGAGACAGUCUCGCUCUGUCACCCAGGCUGGAAUGCAAUGAUGCAAUCUCAGCUCACUGCAACCUCCGCCUCCCGGGUUCAAGUGAUUCUUCUGUCUCAGCCUCCCAAGUAGCUUGGAUUACAGGCACGCGCCACCAUGCCUGGCUAAUUUUUGUAUUUUUAGUAGAGACGGGGUUUCCCCACAUUGGCCAAGAUGGUCUCGAACUCCUGACCUCAUGAUCCACCAGCCUCGGCCUCCCAAAGUGCUGGGAUUACAGGUGUGAGCCACCAUGCCCAGCUCCUGCUUUUUUCUGCAUAGAACGUUCUCCCUCUGACAGCCUAUACUUUUUCCCUCUUUAUCUCGUUGAAUGUCUGUCUUUCCUCAACAGGAACAUCAACUCCAGGAGAACAGGGAUUUCUAUCAGUGUCAUUUACUGCUGCAUCCCCAGUGCCUAGAACAGGGCUGGCAGGUGGUAGGCGCCUGACAGAUGCUUGUCUGAUGCCUGAAUGUCUCCUUACCCACGCCCACGGCGCAGGAUAGAUGUGCUGUAGGGCAAAGAACUUUGAGGGUCGAGCAGCAGGGGCCCAUUCAGUCCCAGGGAGCAGAGACCCCCCCACCCCUUCACAAACCCCAACACCCCUGACUUGGCCCCCACAGAGAGAGGUCCUAUAGCUGUCAUAAAUUAAAUUUAUUCUCUGGAG